This is a long non-coding RNA of Apis cerana (Asiatic honeybee), 817 nucleotides long. RefSeq lists it as uncharacterized. The record is from RefSeq and is a predicted model, not a curated record. NCBI's taxonomy places the organism in Eukaryota, Metazoa, Arthropoda, Insecta, Hymenoptera, Apidae.
GCAAUUAACUAUUCGAGAGCGCGUAGGUGAGACUCGAGUGCCGUGUAAAAAUGCAAAAUUGGAUUAAGCGCCGGUGAAAGGACCAUUAGAGGGGAGAUAUUAAAAGUUAGCGACGGCUUUAGUUACUGCUAUCAGAAAGCACGAGUGUGAAAGGGCCUUGAAAAUGGUAGCGGACUCAAAGCCAUGAACAUCAUUCGUUCGAUAUUCGAUAAUAAUAAAAUACGUUCGAAAAAUGAGGGGAAAAGAUAAAGAGUAUUUAUUCAGAUAAUGGUUAAGAUAAUGAAAAUGUCAAGAGAUAAAAAAAGCAUAACAUCCUGUUAUCAUUCGAUUUCUGUGUGGCUUAUUAUUUAUAAAUGCAUGUAAAAGCUUAUAAGCUCUUGAACAAGCAAUCGAAAAUACAAUUCUAUGAAAAAUCCAACGACGAUAUCGUCAAAAAGUUCGUUUUUGGAAUAGUUUGUUCUUUAGGAUUUUUUGAUUUUUACUUGAUUACUAUCAAUCUCUUUUAUAUAUAUUACUUAUGUAAAAUAAUUUUAAAAUAUGUUUUAUAUAUAUGUAUUUACAUAUUGUUGAUUUAAAAAUUUAUAAUCAAAAAGGUUAUUUAUGAAGUUGACAUAGAAUUACUAUUAAUAAAGAAUUUUUUGAAUUCUUUAUUUUUGCAAUUAUUAAAAGUAUAUGAGAGACUUUUGACAAAUUGAAUUUGAUAUUAUUGUUGAUUUUUAUUGAAAUAGAGAACUAAUUGUAUAUUUAUAUAUAUAGUUAUUUUUAUUAUAAUAUUUGAUUAUUAUUAAUUAUCAUAAAUAGACAUAAUAAAAUUUAA